This 218-nucleotide ribosomal RNA is filed under the name uncultured bacterium. Its description in RNAcentral is "partial 16S ribosomal RNA". It matches the Rfam family "Bacterial small subunit ribosomal RNA", at positions 114 to 334 of the family's 1533-position model. The record is from RNAcentral.
AACAUAUCCAACCUGCCAUGACUCGGGGAUAGCCUUUCGAAAGAAAGAUUAAUACCCGAUGGCAUAGUUCUUCCGCAUGGUAGAACUAUUAAAGAAUUUCGGUCAUCGAUGGGGAUGCGUUCCAUUAGGUUGUUGGCGGGGUAACGGCCCACCAAGCCUUCGAUGGAUAGGGGUUCUGAGAGGAAGGUCCCCCACAUUGGAACUGAGACACGGUCCAA